This 447-nucleotide ribosomal RNA is filed under the name uncultured bacterium. Its description in RNAcentral is "partial 16S ribosomal RNA". It matches the Rfam family "Bacterial small subunit ribosomal RNA", at positions 338 to 795 of the family's 1533-position model. The record is from RNAcentral.
CCUACGGGAGGCAGCAGUAGGGAAUUUUCGGCAAUGGGGGGAACCCUGACCGAGCAACGCCGCGUGAACGAAGAAGUAUUUCGGUAUGUAAAGUUCUUUUAUUGGAGAAGAAAGAGAAAUUUGACGGUAACCAAUGAAUAAGCUCCGGCUAACUACGUGCCAGCAGCCGCGGUCAUGCGGAGGGAGCGAGCGUUAUCCGGAAUUAUUGGGCGUAAAGGGUGCGUAGAUGGUUGAUAUAAGUCUUUUGUAAAAAUGCUAGGCUCAACCUAGUAGGGCAAAAGAUACUGAUUAACUAGAGUACGGGAGAGGCAAGUGGAACGAGUUGUGUAGCGGUAAAAUGCGUAGAUAUUUGGAAGAACACCGGUGGCGAAGGCGGCUUGCUGGGGCUGUACUGACAUUGAGGCACGAAAGCGUGGGGAGCAAACAGGAUUAGAUACCCUAGUAGUC